UACGUAGGGAGCAAGCGUUGUCCGGAAUCAUUGGGCGUAAAGCGCGCGUAGGCGGCCCCAUAAGUCCGCUGUGAAAGUCAAAGGCUCAACCUUUGAAAGCCGGUGGAUACUGUGGGGCUAGAGUCCGGAAGAGGAGAGUGGAAUUCCUGGUGUAGCGGUGAAAUGCGCAGAUAUCAGGAAGAACACCCGUGGCGAAGGCGGCUCUCUGGGACGGUACUGACGCUGAGACGCGAAAGCGUGGGGAGCGAACAGG
This 253-nucleotide ribosomal RNA is filed under the name uncultured bacterium. RNAcentral describes it as "partial 16S ribosomal RNA". It matches the Rfam family "Bacterial small subunit ribosomal RNA", at positions 524 to 776 of the family's 1533-position model. The record is from RNAcentral.